UACGUAGGGGGCAAGCGUUGUCCGGAUUUAUUGGGCGUAAAGAGCGUGUAGGCGGCCAUUCAGGUCAGCUGUGAAAACUCGAGGCUCAACCUCGAGACGUCGGUUGAAACCGUUUGGCUAGAGUCCGGAAGAGGAGAGUGGAAUUCCGAGUGUAGAGGUGAAAUUCGUAGAUAUUCGGAAGAACACCAGUGGCGAAGGCGGCUCACUGGACUGGUAUUGACGCUGAGGUGCGAAAGCGUGGGGAGCAAACAGG
RNAcentral lists this ribosomal RNA (253 nucleotides) under uncultured bacterium. RNAcentral describes it as "partial 16S ribosomal RNA". It matches the Rfam family "Bacterial small subunit ribosomal RNA", at positions 524 to 776 of the family's 1533-position model. The record is from RNAcentral.